Paramormyrops kingsleyae is the source of this 676-nucleotide non-coding RNA. NCBI's taxonomy places the organism in Eukaryota, Metazoa, Chordata, Actinopteri, Osteoglossiformes, Mormyridae. The record is from RefSeq and is a predicted model, not a curated record.
GUUGAGUCAGGGCCGUAUUAGCGGCGCACCCUAUAGCUUCUGUGCGCGGCGAGGCUCAUCUUCGCACCAGUGCGCUACGGAAGCUAAGAGGGGAUGUUAGAGAGCUUCGUCAUGCGAGUGCUGCCGCUAAUUGUGCUUACUGUGUUUAAACAGGUAUGUUAAUUACUUCAACAUUUCAUAUGUGAAUGCAUUUGUAUGAAACCCACUAUACGAACGCCAUGUUUUACCCAUUGUGAGUUGUUGUACUUGUGUUUUUUUUCUUUUCUCUUACCUAGGUUUAGAUGUUUAAUUUAAUGUUAUCGUUAGCAGCUUGCUCCGUUAUUAGGCAGGUUGAAAUAUUUAAUAGUCUGAACUACUGUGUGUAGUUUCACCUUUAUUAUUCAUAUAUUUAAUUGUAAUUAUUUUUUUUUUGUAACGCGGCGAGGCUCAUUUUCGCGCCAGUGCGCUACGGAAGCUAAGAGGGGAUGUUAGAGAGCUUCGUCAUGCGAGUGCUGCCGCUAAUUGUGCUUACUGUGUUUAAACAGACUGAAUAAAACGUCCACAAUUCAGACUCCUGUGUACCGUGCAAUCGAUACCGGCCGAAGUCUGCUACACACGCAUAUGAGGAAUUCAAGCCAAUAAUAAUGAAAAAAAGCAAUACGGCUGCAUCGGCUAAAGAAAGAGAGUUGGCUUGGCA